This 375-nucleotide ribosomal RNA is filed under the name uncultured Glomeromycotina. Its description in RNAcentral is "LSU rRNA". Lineage: Eukaryota; Fungi; Glomeromycota. The record is from RNAcentral.
UUGAAAGGGAAACGAUUGAAGUCAGUCGUACCAACGGAAAAUCAGCUCUUCGAGUGCGGACUUGUGGGUUACGUGAGCUUUACGGCCUCGUUGUUUGCAAUGUUCGUUCUUUUUGGGUGUACUUUUUCGUAUGGUUGGCCAAUAUCAGUUUCGAUCGCUAUAAAAUGACCGGCGGAAUGUAGCUUCGAUCUCGUAUUGAAGUGUUAUAGCCUCUGGUAGAUGUGGUGAUCGGGAUUGAGGAUUGCAACGGAUACCCUUCGGGGCUACCUGUCUGAUCUCUGAUCGUUGCUCUGGUGCCGAAAGCGUGCUUACGGUUAUUUAAGUUGACGGUCAAAAGGUUAGAACGUGAUUAUAUUCGUUAAGGAUGUUGACGUA